CAUGAAGCUGGAAUCGCUAGUAAUCGCGGAUCAGAAUGCCGCGGUGAAUACGUUCCCGGGUCUUGUACACACCGCCCGUCACACCAUGGGAGUCGGAAAUGCCCGAAGUCUGUGACCUAACCGCAAGGGAGGAGCAGCCGAAGGCAGGUCGGAUGACUGGGUGAAGUCGUAACAAGGUACC
RNAcentral lists this ribosomal RNA (181 nucleotides) under uncultured bacterium. RNAcentral describes it as "partial 16S ribosomal RNA". It matches the Rfam family "Bacterial small subunit ribosomal RNA", at positions 1319 to 1500 of the family's 1533-position model. The record is from RNAcentral.